CCUGGCUCGGAUGAACGCUAGCUACAGGCUUAACACAUGCAAGUCGAGGGGCAGCAUUUCAGUUUGCUUGCAAACUAGAGAUGGCGACCGGCGCACGGGUGAGUAACACGUAUCCAACCUGCCGAUAACUCGGGGAUAGCCUUUCGAAAGAAAGAUUAAUACCCGAUGGCAUAAUUAGACCGCAUGGUCUUAUUAUUAAAGAAUUUCGGUUAUCGAUGGGGAUGCGUUCCAUUAGGCAGUUGGUGAGGUAACGGCUCACCAAACCUUCGAUGGAUAGGGGUUCUGAGAGGAAGGUCCCCCACAUUGGAACUGAGACACGGUCCAAACUCCUACGGGAGGCAGCAGUGAGGAAUAUUGGUCAAUGGGCGCAGGCCUGAACCAGCCAAGUAGCGUGAAGGAUGACUGCCCUAUGGGUUGUAAACUUCUUUUAUAUGGGAAUAAAGUUUUCCACGUGUGGAAUUUUGUAUGUACCAUAUGAAUAAGGAUCGGCUAACUCCGUGCCAGCAGCCGCGGUAAUACGGAGGAUCCGAGCGUUAUCCGGAUUUAUUGGGUUUAAAGGGAGCGUAGGUGGACAGUUAAGUCAGUUGUGAAAGUUUGCGGCUCAACCGUAAAAUUGCAGUUGAUACUGGCUGUCUUGAGUACAGUAGAGGUGGGCGGAAUUCGUGGUGUAGCGGUGAAAUGCUUAGAUAUCACGAAGAACUCCGAUUGCGAAGGCAGCUCACUGGACUGCAACUGACACUGAUGCUCGAAAGUGUGGGUAUCAAACAGGAUUAGAUACCCUGGUAGUCCACACAGUAAACGAUGAAUACUCGCUGUUGGCGAUAUACAGUAAGCGGCCAAGCGAAAGCAUUAAGUAUUCCACCUGGGGAGUACGCCGGCAACGGUGAAACUCAAAGGAAUUGACGGGGGCCCGCACAAGCGGAGGAACAUGUGGUUUAAUUCGAUGAUACGCGAGGAACCUUACCCGGGCUUAAAUUGCAUUUGAAUAAUCUGGAAACAGGUUAGCCGCAAGGCAAAUGUGAAGGUGCUGCAUGGUUGUCGUCAGCUCGUGCCGUGAGGUGUCGGCUUAAGUGCCAUAACGAGCGCAACCCUUAUCUUUAGUUACUAACAGGUCAUGCUGAGGACUCUAGAGAGACUGCCGUCGUAAGAUGUGAGGAAGGUGGGGAUGACGUCAAAUCAGCACGGCCCUUACGUCCGGGGCUACACACGUGUUACAAUGGGGGGUACAGAAGGCAGCUACCUGGUGACAGGAUGCUAAUCCCAAAAGCCUCUCUCAGUUCGGAUCGAAGUCUGCAACCCGACUUCGUGAAGCUGGAUUCGCUAGUAAUCGCGCAUCAGCCAUGGCGCGGUGAAUACGUUCCCGGGCCUUGUACACACCG
Molecule: ribosomal RNA, 1379 nt
Filed under: uncultured bacterium
Lineage: Bacteria
Description: bacterial SSU rRNA
Rfam family: Bacterial small subunit ribosomal RNA
Source: RNAcentral